CUUCUUUUGGUGGGGACCAGGCAUUCCGUCCUUUUCCCCACUAGAUACAGAGGCAGAUGGAAAGGGACCUAGCCCUCCAGGUGUGGCUUCCCAUCCACAGAUUCACUCCUCAAGAACCAGG
Molecule: small nucleolar RNA, 121 nt
Organism: Perognathus longimembris pacificus (Pacific pocket mouse)
Lineage: Eukaryota; Metazoa; Chordata; Mammalia; Rodentia; Heteromyidae
Product: small nucleolar RNA SNORA57
Exons: 1
Source: RefSeq, a predicted model, not a curated record